This 73-nucleotide transfer RNA is filed under the name Sphaerobolus stellatus SS14. RNAcentral describes it as "tRNA-Met (CAT) (tRNA-Met-CAT-11-1)". It matches the Rfam family "tRNA". Rfam says of the family: Transfer RNA (tRNA) molecules are approximately 80 nucleotides in length. Their secondary structure includes four short double-helical elements and three loops (D, anti-codon, and T loops). Further hydrogen bonds mediate the characteristic L-shaped molecular structure. tRNAs have two regions of fundamental functional importance: the anti-codon, which is responsible for specific mRNA codon recognition, and the 3' end, to which the tRNAs corresponding amino acid is attached (by aminoacyl-tRNA synthetases). tRNAs cope with the degeneracy of the genetic code in two manners: having more than one tRNA (with a specific anti-codon) for a particular amino acid; and 'wobble' base-pairing, i.e. permitting non-standard base-pairing at the 3rd anti-codon position. The record is from RNAcentral. Lineage: Eukaryota; Fungi; Basidiomycota; Agaricomycetes; Geastrales; Sphaerobolaceae.
GUUUCCUCCGCUCAGAUGGUAGAGUGUUGGCCUCAUAAUCCAAAGGUAGGCAGUUCGAGCCUGCCAAGAAGCA